AGGAAACGACAAAGUACAAGUUGCUAGCCGAAGAUAAAAAUAUCAGACUAGUAAGUUUAGAUGUAUAUAUAGUUGCAAUUAUAACUUCUUACAAACUGUGAACGACAUCUGAUACUUGUUUCUCCUGAACGUAUAUAAUAUAAAAUUAUUUCUGAUUUAAAAAUAUGUUUCUCUUAGACGUAUGAUAUGAAACCAAAUCCACAAGUGACUGGACAAAUUGUUGCAUUGGUAGUAUUCAGGUAGGUAUAUUAACUACAUUGUACAUUACUGGUGAUCGUAUGCUGUAUAAGCAUUUCAAAUGAAUAUCGACUGGUAUAAAAUCAAGGAAAGAUCAAGGCACUG
Molecule: non-coding RNA, 342 nt
Organism: Paramuricea clavata
Lineage: Eukaryota; Metazoa; Cnidaria; Anthozoa; Malacalcyonacea; Plexauridae
Source: the annotation of a GenBank genome assembly